AAAAACGAAACAAAAAUUCAGGCGAAUCAAACAUUUCGCAAACAUAAAGUCACGCUCAACAGAGAAUAUGCAUAUCUAUAAAAAUGAAAAUCCGGAUCUAGUGCAAUGUAGGUUUAAAAUUAGAUAAUUAUGCAUAUUCAAUUUAAUUUACAAACGGAAACACUGACAGAUUACAGACUGCCACAGAUGCAAAUGGAUAAAACGCAAAGGUGAGUGAAGGUGAGAAAAUUGGACUUGGUUGAGUUUUUAAUCAGAUCAGAUCGUGAAAAAUCUGGAUCUAAUAAGGAAUGAUUUCACGUACCUGCUUAAUAUAUCAGUGGAGAGAUCGACGGGGACUGGAGAUGUUGAAACGAACACGAAGAUUGGGCAUUUUAUAUUUAAGCUAAAUUGCAAUCACCGUCCCUAAUUUUUACCCUUAUUAUUUUAUUGUCCGAAACUUUUUUUAAUUCCA
Molecule: long non-coding RNA, 451 nt
Filed under: Olea europaea (common olive)
Lineage: Eukaryota; Viridiplantae; Streptophyta; Magnoliopsida; Lamiales; Oleaceae
Description: long non-coding RNA (OEUR_LNC006259)
Source: RNAcentral